Molecule: ribosomal RNA, 492 nt
Filed under: uncultured bacterium
Lineage: Bacteria
Description: partial 16S ribosomal RNA
Rfam family: Bacterial small subunit ribosomal RNA
Source: RNAcentral
AGUGAACGCUGGCGGUAGGCCUAACACAUGCAAGUCGAACGGCAGCACAGUAAGAGCUUGCUCUUACGGGUGGCGAGUGGCGGACGGGUGAGGAAUACAUCGGAAUCUACUUUUUCGUGGGGGAUAACGGAGGGAAACUUACGCUAAUACCGCAUACGACCUACGGGUUAAAGCAGGGGAUCUUCGGACCUUGCGUGAUUGAAUGAGCCGAUGUCGGAUUAGCUAGUUGGCUGGGUAAAGGCCCACCAAGGCGACGAUCCGUAGCUGGUCUGAGAGGAUGAUCAGCCACACUGGAACUGAGACACGGUCCAGACUCCUACGGGAGGCAGCAGUGGGGAAUAUUGGACAAUGGGCGCAAGCCUGACCCAGCCACACCGCGUGGGUGAAGAAGGCCUUCGGAUUGUAAAGCCCUUUUAUUAGGAAAGAAAAGCAGCAGGUUAAUACCCCGCUGUUCUGACGGUACCCAAAGAAUAAGCACCGGCUAACUUCGUG